UGGAGCCACCUUGAUCAUGUUCCUGCAGUGCAUCAGCUGGCUUGUUUUUGAACCAGCUGUCUAAAUUAAGCAACAGGAGCCAAUUGUAUAUGGAGAUACGAAUAUAAAUGUAGCUGUUGUUAUUAAAGGUGUCUCCAUCCAUUUGAUUUGAGGAAUAGAGAUCGCCCGUGUUCCAUGUCUAAGUUUUCUUUUACAAAUUUAGAGAAACAUAAAGGUCAAUAUAUACCUCUCAUGUUGAUAGAGCCAUUUUUUUUUCACGAAACACAUUGCAGAUGCAGACGUUCACAUACACUCACCCCUAUGAAUACACGCACGCAACCCUAUCGGCCUAUCCCUAUGAGAGCACCCCUAUGAAUACACACGCAACCCUAUCCCUAUGAGAGCACCUUCGAAAGACUAAAUCGGUAGAUCUUAAGAUUAAUGAAGUCAUCAUAGCCACCCCACUAUUGGCGGACACGCCGCCUACCACUGGAAAAAUAUUACUAGUUAAUUUCUAAAAUAAAUUCAAAAAAAUGUAAACACCUGUGCUAAGUCGAGGAUCA
RNAcentral lists this long non-coding RNA (542 nucleotides) under Setaria viridis. RNAcentral's name for it is "long non-coding RNA (SVIR_LNC008292)". Lineage: Eukaryota; Viridiplantae; Streptophyta; Magnoliopsida; Poales; Poaceae. The record is from RNAcentral.